CCAAUAGCGUAUAUUAAAGUUGUUGUAGUUAAAAAGCUCGUAGUUGAAUUUCGGGAUCAGUACGUUGGUCAUGCCUUGGUAUGUACUGGUGUAACUGAUUCCUCCCUUCUGACGAACCGUCAUGCCAUUCACUUGGUGUGGCGGGAAAUCAGGACUGUUACUUUGAAAAAAUUAGAGUGUUUAAAGCAGGCUCGCGCUUGAAUACAUUAGCAUGGACUAAUGAAAUAGGACGUUAAUCCUAUUUUGUUGUUUUCUAGGAUCGACGUAAUGAUUAAUAGGGAUAGUUGGGGGCAUUAGUAUUCAAUUGUCAGAGGUGAAAUUCUUGGAUUUAUUGAAGACUAACUACUGCGAAAGCAUUUGCCAAGGAUGUUUUCAUUAAUCAAGAACGAAAGUUAGGGGAUCGAAGACGAUCAGAUACCGUCGUAGUCUUAACCAUAAACUAUGCCGACUAGGAAUCAGACGAUGUUAAUUUUUUAAUGACUCGUUUGGCACCUUACG
RNAcentral lists this unclassified non-coding RNA (498 nucleotides) under uncultured Glomus. RNAcentral describes it as "SSU rRNA". It matches the Rfam family "Eukaryotic small subunit ribosomal RNA", at positions 591 to 1092 of the family's 1831-position model. The record is from RNAcentral. Lineage: Eukaryota; Fungi; Glomeromycota; Glomeromycetes; Glomerales; Glomeraceae.